This 678-nucleotide long non-coding RNA is filed under the name Nicotiana tabacum (common tobacco). RNAcentral's name for it is "long non-coding RNA (NTAB_LNC011856)". Lineage: Eukaryota; Viridiplantae; Streptophyta; Magnoliopsida; Solanales; Solanaceae. The record is from RNAcentral.
CCUCCUCUUAGAAAUUGAGCCUCCAUGGUGCCUGUGCAAAUGUUGUAAGUCCGAAAUUUGAUUGAUGUAGUACUUGUUAUACCAAAUGAAUUGAUGUUGUGAAAAUGCAUGUGGAAGGUGCUUCUCUAUGUGUUUAAUGUGUUAUUCUUUGUAAAUUGAGGAUGUGUGGUGGACAUGAACUAUGUGCUAAAUGCCUAAAUGUCAAGUUAAGGUUACAUUGUGAUUAAUAUGCCGAACUAGAUAAAUUCCCCUCUAUGCUUAUAACUUAAAUUGCUUUUGUGUGUGCCUAUGAUCUUAAAUGGCAAGGUUAAUGUUGAAAAUGAGAAUAAUGUGAAACGUGAGUUAUGAAUGUGGCAAUUGUGGCCCCAAGUGCUGAUGAACUAAUACAUGUGGAACCAAAGAUUGAAGUGAGAAUGAUUAAUAGAAAAGGGUAACGUCUUGGUAAGAUGGCUUAGCCGAUCGGGCCGUGAUCGGACGCCAUGUUAUACACACAUGGUGGUAAUGUAUUGAUAAUUGAACCUGGAAAGUGAGAAUGAAAUAAGGGUAACGUCUUGAUAAGACGGCUUAGCCGAUCGGGCCAUGAUCGGACUCCACUCAAGGAAGCGAUGGUAAUGUGGAUGAUGAUGCAAUGAUAUGGAAUGCCCCAAUCUAAAAUUUCAGAAAUUAUGUGAAAACUAU